RNAcentral lists this ribosomal RNA (468 nucleotides) under uncultured bacterium. Its description in RNAcentral is "partial 16S ribosomal RNA". It matches the Rfam family "Bacterial small subunit ribosomal RNA", at positions 28 to 507 of the family's 1533-position model. The record is from RNAcentral.
GACGAACGCUGGCGGCGUGCUUAACACAUGCAAGUCGAACGGAAAGGCCCUGCUUUUGUGGGGUGCUCGAGUGGCGAACGGGUGAGUAACACGUGAGUAACCUGCCCUUGACUUUGGGAUAACUUCAGGAAACUGGGGCUAAUACCGGAUAGGAGCUCCUGCUGCAUGGUGGGGGUUGGAAAGUUUCGGCGGUUGGGGAUGGACUCGCGGCUUAUCAGCUUGUUGGUGGGGUAGUGGCUGACCAAGGCUUUGACGGGUAGCCGGCCUGAGAGGGUGACCGGCCACAUUGGGACUGAGAUACGGCCCAGACUCCUACGGGAGGCAGCAGUGGGGAAUAUUGCACAAUGGGCGGAAGCCUGAUGCAGCAGCGCCGCGUGCGGGAUGACGGCCUUCGGGUUGUAAACCGCUUUCGCCUGUGACGAAGCGUGAGUGACGGUAAUGAGUAAAGAAGCACCGGCUAACUACGUG